CAGCCGCCGCGGUAAAACCAGCACCUCAGGUGGUCAGGAUGAUUAUUGGGCCUAAAGCAUCCGUAGCCGGCUCUGUAAGUUUUCGGUUAAAUCUGUACGCUCAACGUACAGGCUGCCGGGAAUACUGCAGAGCUAGGGAGUGGGAGAGGUAGACGGUACUCGGUAGGAAGGGGUAAAAUCCUUUGAUUUAUUGAUGACCACCUGUGGCGAAGGCGGUCUACCAGAACACGUCCGACGGUGAGGGAUGAAAGCUGGGGGAGCAAACCGGAUUAGAUACCCGGGUAGUCCCAGCUGUAAACUAUGCAAACUCAGUGAUGCAUUGGCUUGUGGCCAAUGCAGUGCUGCAGGGAAGCCGUUAAGUUUGCCGCCUGGGAAGUACGUACGCAAGUAUGAAACUUAAAGGAAUUGGCGGGGGAGCAC
Molecule: ribosomal RNA, 420 nt
Filed under: uncultured Nitrososphaerota archaeon
Lineage: Archaea; Thermoproteati; Nitrososphaerota
Description: bacterial SSU rRNA
Rfam family: Archaeal small subunit ribosomal RNA
Source: RNAcentral